RNAcentral lists this ribosomal RNA (245 nucleotides) under uncultured bacterium. RNAcentral describes it as "partial 16S ribosomal RNA". It matches the Rfam family "Bacterial small subunit ribosomal RNA", at positions 524 to 768 of the family's 1533-position model. The record is from RNAcentral.
UACGUAGGGAGCAAGCGUUGUUCGGGAUUACUGGGCGUAAAGGGAGAGUAGGCGGAACGGUAAGUUAGGAGUGAAAUGUACGGGCUUAACCCGUGACCUGCUCUUAAUACUGCCGUCCUUGAGUAUGGGAGAGGAUGAUAGAAUUCCAGGUGUAGCGGUGGAAUGCGUAGAUAUCUGGAAGAAUACCCGUUGCGAAGGCGGUCAUCUGGCCCAAUACUGACGCUGAGGCUCGAAAGCUAGGGGAG